UGCCAGCCGCCGCGGUAAUACGAAGGGGGCUAGCGUUGUUCGGAAUUACUGGGCGUAAAGCGCACGUAGGCGGACUCGUAAGUCGGAUGUGAAAUCCCGCGGCUCAACCGUGGAAGUGCACCCGAAACUGCGAGGCUAGAGUAUCGGAGAGGAAGGUGGAAUGCUUAGUGUAGAGGUGAAAUUCGUAGAUAUUGGGAAGAACACCAGUGGCGAAGGCGGCUAACUGGCUCGGUACUGACGCUGAGAUACGAAAGUGUGGGGAGCAAACAGGAUUAGAUA
Molecule: ribosomal RNA, 279 nt
Filed under: uncultured bacterium
Lineage: Bacteria
Description: partial 16S ribosomal RNA
Rfam family: Bacterial small subunit ribosomal RNA
Source: RNAcentral